UACGGAGGGUCCAAGCGUUAUCCGGAAUCAUUGGGUUUAAAGGGUCCGUAGGCGGUUUUGUAAGUCAGUGGUGAAAGCCCAUCGCUCAACGGUGGAACGGCCAUUGAUACUGCAAGACUUGGAUUAUUGGGAAGUAACUAGAAUAUGUAGUGUAGCGGUGAAAUGCUUAGAGAUUACAUGGAAUACCAAUUGCGAAGGCAGGUUACUAUCAAUAUAUUGACGCUGAUGGACGAAAGCGUGGGGAGCGAACAGG
RNAcentral lists this ribosomal RNA (253 nucleotides) under uncultured bacterium. RNAcentral's name for it is "partial 16S ribosomal RNA". It matches the Rfam family "Bacterial small subunit ribosomal RNA", at positions 524 to 776 of the family's 1533-position model. The record is from RNAcentral.